Molecule: ribosomal RNA, 482 nt
Filed under: uncultured bacterium
Lineage: Bacteria
Description: partial 16S ribosomal RNA
Rfam family: Bacterial small subunit ribosomal RNA
Source: RNAcentral
AUUGAACGCUGGCGGCAUGCCUUACACAUGCAAGUCGAACGGUAACAGGUCUUCGGAUGCUGACGAGUGGCGAACGGGUGAGUAAUACAUCGGAACGUGCCCGAUCGUGGGGGAUAACGAGGCGAAAGCUUUGCUAAUACCGCAUACGAUCUACGGAUGAAAGCGGGGGAUCUUCGGACCUCGCGCGGACGGAGCGGCCGAUGGCAGAUUAGGUAGUUGGUGGGAUAAAAGCUUACCAAGCCGACGAUCUGUAGCUGGUCUGAGAGGAUGAUCAGCCACACUGGGACUGAGACACGGCCCAGACUCCUACGGGAGGCAGCAGUGGGGAAUUUUGGACAAUGGGCGAAGGCCUGAUCCAGCCAUGCCGCGUGCAGGAUGAAGGCCUUCGGGUUGUAAACUGCUUUUGUACGGAACGAAAAGCCUCUUUCUAAUAAAGAGGGGUCAUGACGGUACCGUAAGAAUAAGCACCGGCUAACUACGUG